UUGGUUUUGAGAUUUAGACACAAGGGAAGCCUGAAAGGAGGUGUUGGGCACUAUUUUGGUUUGUAAAGCCUGUACUUCAAAUAUAUAUUUUGUGAGGGAGUGUAGCGAAUUGGCCAAUUUAAAAUAAAGUUGCAAGAGAUUGAAAGCUGAGUAGUUGAGAGGGUAACACGUUUAAUGAGAUCUUCUGAAACUGCUGCUUCUAAACACUUGUUUGAGUGAUGAGGCCUUGGAUAGGUGAGUGCUCUUGUUACAUGUCUGAUGCACUUGCUUGUCCUUUUCCAUCCACAUCCAUGCAUUCCACAUCCACGCAUUUGUCACUUAUCCCAUAUCUGUCAUAUCUGACAUACCUGUCUCUUCGUUACUUGGUCAGAAGAAACAGAUGUGAUAAUCCCCAGCCGCCCCAAGUUUGAGAAGAUGGCAGUUGCUUCUUUCCCUUUUUCCUGCUAAGUAAGGAUUUUCUCCUGGCUUUGACACCUCACGAAAUAGUCUUCCUGCCUUACAUUCUGGGCAUUAUUUCAAAUAUCUUUGGAGUGCGCUGCUCUCAAGUUUGUGUCUUCCUACUCUUAGAGUGAAUGCUCUUAGAGUGAAAGAGAAGGAAGAGAAGAUGUUGGCCGCAGUUCUCUGAUGAACACACCUCUGAAUAAUGGCCAAAGGAUCCUCAUUCAUGGAUCAAGCUGUAAGGAACUUGGGCUCCAACCUCAAAACAUUAAUUGGAGUACGAAUGUAAUUAAAACUGCAUUCUCGCAUUCCUAAGUUAUUUAGUCUGGACUCUGCAGCAUGUAGGUCGGCAGCUCCCACUUUCUCAAAGACCACUGAUGGAGGAGUAGUAAAAAUGGAGACCGAUUCAGAACAACCAACGGAGUGUUGCCGAAGAAACUGAUGGAAAUAAUGCAUGAAUUGUGUGGUGGACAUUUUUUUUAAAUACACAAACUACUUCAAAUGAGGUCGGAGAAGGUCAGUGUUUUAUUAGCAGCCAUAAAACCAGGUGAGCGAGUACCAUUUUUCUCUACAAGAAAAACGAUUCUGAGCUCUGCGUAAGUAUAAGUUCUCCAUAGCAGCUGAAGCUCCCCGCUGGCUGCCUGCCAUCUCAGCUGGAGUGCAGUGCCAUUUCCUUGGGGUUUCUCUCACAGCAGUAAUGGGACAAUGCUUCACAAAAAUUCUUUCUUUUCCUGUCAUGUGGGAUCCCUACUGUGCCCUCCUGGUUUUACGUUACCCCCUGACUGUUCCAUUCAGCGGUUUGGAAAGAAAAAAAGAAUUUG
Molecule: long non-coding RNA, 1259 nt
Organism: Gallus gallus (chicken)
Lineage: Eukaryota; Metazoa; Chordata; Aves; Galliformes; Phasianidae
Source: Ensembl